Molecule: ribosomal RNA, 550 nt
Filed under: uncultured bacterium
Lineage: Bacteria
Description: bacterial SSU rRNA
Rfam family: Bacterial small subunit ribosomal RNA
Source: RNAcentral
UAGGGAAUCUUCGGCAAUGGGGGCAACCCUGACCGAGCAACACCGCGUGAGUGAAGAAGGUUUUCGGAUCGUAAAGCUCUGUUGUAAGUCAAGAACGAGUGUGAGAGUGGAAAGUUCACACUGUGACGGUAGCUUACCAGAAAGGGACGGCUAACUACGUGCCAGCAGCCGCGGUAAUACGUAGGUCCCGAGCGUUGUCCGGAUUUAUUGGGCGUAAAGCGAGCGCAGGCGGUUUGAUAAGUCUGAAGUUAAAGGCUGUGGCUCAACCAUAGUUCGCUUUGGAAACUGUCAAACUUGAGUGCAGAAGGGGAGAGUGGAAUUCCAUGUGUAGCGGUGAAAUGCGUAGAUAUAUGGAGGAACACCGGUGGCGAAAGCGGCUCUCUGGUCUGUAACUGACGCUGAGGCUCGAAAGCGUGGGGAGCGAACAGGAUUAGAUACCCUGGUAGUCCACGCCGUAAACGAUGAGUGCUAGGUGUUGGAUCCUUUCCGGGAUUCAGUGCCGCAGCUAACGCAUUAAGCACUCCGCCUGGGGAGUACGACCGCAAGGUUG